RNAcentral lists this unclassified non-coding RNA (246 nucleotides) under uncultured fungus. RNAcentral describes it as "sequence contains ITS1". The record is from RNAcentral. Lineage: Eukaryota; Fungi.
GUUUUUAUUAAUAUUAUAACCUUUCGGUCAAAUGAACAUUCGUUUUUUAUAAGAAGGGUAUGUAUAUUUGUCGAGGAGAAGUCAGUCUUCUGCGUAUUCUCCCGAGAGAGAACUAACAGAAUCCAUUAUUCUCCCCAAUGGUGCACAGGUGUUGAGAUAGAUUAAGAAGGGAGCACAUGCGAGUAAACGCCAGCUAACAAUCCUUCAAAUUCGUUAAUGAUCCUUCCGCAGGUUCACCUACGGAAA